RNAcentral lists this long non-coding RNA (3088 nucleotides) under Marmota monax (woodchuck). The record is from RNAcentral. Lineage: Eukaryota; Metazoa; Chordata; Mammalia; Rodentia; Sciuridae.
AUUGCUGAGGCUGGCUUUGAACUUGCCAUCCUCCUUCCUUAGCCUUUCAAAUCACUGGGAUUACAGGCAUGGGCCACUGCACCUGGCUUGCUCAUUUUAAAAUUUUAACUCCCCCAAAUAGUGCUUUCUGGUGACUAUUCUGGCAGCCACAGCAAAGCAGUAUUCUGAUAUUUAUAUUCAUGUUCCACAAGCAAGAGAACACAAACCUACAUUACCAACAUUUCAGUAACUUAAUAAAUGAACUAAUAUUUGGUCCUCACAAAAACUCAGGGUCCAGAUCUCUGAAGAAAUAGUCAACAUAAAUGUAAGGUAUUUAAACACAGUGCAUAUAUUUGUAUAAUGUAGCUUGCAAGUACUUUUAAGUGCCUUAUAUAUAAUUUCAUCUUACUUUGUCCUUGUAACCAAGUAGUACCCACUUGGCCCUUUUAAAGAAAAAAACCGUAGGGAAAUAUGAGGAAUAUAGUGUUUUACCUACCAACAACCCAUUGCAUGACUAGAUGAGACAAUACUUUUAUGCUUUUUAAAAACUUUCCUAAGUGAUAUCAUAAAGAUCCAUAGUACAGAUGGAUCAAAAAAGUUUUCCAUAGCUUUCUAAAAAGUCUUCUGUGUUACAAACAUUAAUAAAUCAAUACAUAAAAUUUUGUUUAACCAUUCACUAGAUCAUCAGGCUGUGCUGCAAGAUAGAAUAGAAAGUGAGGUGAUAGAUACGGUAAUGAGCCCGACUUGGUCUUUCCACAAUGUAUAUGUGUAUUGAAAUAUCACAUUGAACACCAUAAAUAUGUACAGUUAUGGUUUGGCAAUUUAAAAGAAAAAAUAUUUUGAUCAUGGCCAGGUUAAGAAGCAGUUAAGUACCACCCUGCAGAGAGCAGUGAGUGACUCAAGGCCGCUUGGAACCAGCUGCUGAGUGAAGUGGCACCCUGGCACAGCGCUUACUACUGACAGCAAGAGAGGAGGGCGUGUGCAGGACACCUGGGGCUGGCAAGGACCUGUCGUGUCUCUCGUGACCAGCAGCUGCACGAUCAGCCCCAAUGCACUCUGCGGAAAAUGAAGGUGUGUGCCUUUUCAUUGUUCCUGGAGUAAUCAUUUUUCUUUUUAAAUUUCAAAAAGAAAAUGUGGUGAAACCAGACAGGAAUCAGAGUCAACCUGCAGAGCAAAUAUUAGCACCAUCUACGAGUGUGAAGUUUGACUGUGAGAGAAAAUUGUGUAAAUUGGCUAGAGAGGGCUUCAGUUGGCUCCAUGUGAAUCUGAUUCCUGACAUUUACGAAAUCACCCAGAUUGCUACCAUAAUUCUUCAGAGAAAAGAUUCUGUAAAUGUUAAGAUUUAAUAUAAUUCUUACCUUAAAAUAGAAGUGGUGAAGAGUUUGAAAAGAAAAUCUCAGGUCGAUUCAUUUUUUUAAGUUUUAUGUCAUCAGAAAUACUUAAGCAGCUGUUUUGGAAGUGUAUUUUUUUUUUUUUUAAGAGAAGGAUUCAUAAAAUUACAGUAAAAAAAAAGAUUACAGUAACAUCAUUGUCACAAAGGAAAAAAAUCUGGUAAAUUGUAUACUAAACAACUUUGUUUUUAAGAUUACUUAUACAUCAAAUAAUUUAUUAAAAUGGAAAACAUUGAUAUUUAUUUUACUAAGAAAAAUUCUGACUAAAUGAUCUAAAAUUUGUAGCUAAAUACUCACCAGCAGGUGUCACUACGAUAACAGAUUUUUUUUUUUUCCCUUCUACUUUCUAAGCAAUUUUGUGUAGUGGGUAUAUUACAUUCGUGGACAAAGAUGUGUAAUUUAGCAAAACAUGCACAGUGUUCCCAGAUGGUUUUGAUAAUUGUAUUUUUUCUUACCUUUCUUCAUGUCUCAAAUAUACAGAUUCCUUUAUUAUAUAGUUGAAGUGAUGGGUUUAUUGGGAAUAAAAACAGUUUAAAAACACAGUUUUGGGAUUUUAUAUGGAUAUACAGAAUAGUACACAAAUCACGAGGUUACCGUUUGUGUAACCAACAGUAUCACUAGUAUUCCCCGGCACUUUGUACCCCUAGGAGAUAUUAGGGCUGAAGGGUGCCUCAAACUUAUUUUUUGCCUUUAUUUUGUCAAAAACGCAACCAGAGGGCUGGGGAUGUGGGUCAAGCGGUAGCGCGCUCGCCUGGCAUGCGUGCGGCCCGGGUUCGAUCCUCAGCACCACAUACAAACAAAGAUGUUGUGUCCGCCAAAAACUGAAAAAUAAAUAUUAAAAAUUUUAAAAAAACGCAACCAGAGAUACUCCUGGCAAAUCCAAAUCAGAAAAUAUUUCCAAUGUUUUUAUAUAGAAUCUGAAAACCUCCUUGUUCCUUUCUUGAAAAUUAAGAUGGAGUCAAAAUUUUUAAAUCAGCAUUUAGAGACACAAAAAUAUAGCAACCAGUGGAAAAUAGCAAUAGAAAUUCAAAGCUAGUAUUUGGGUAAUUUUUCCCACCUAGUGUGGAAGCAAAAAGUAGAAUUGCAUUUUUUUAUCGGAGCCCUGUGCAGGGUCGGUGUUCUAAAAGAAAUCCAGGCAGUAUAGCCCUGUAUCCUGAAGGACUUUACAAUCCAAUUGUGCACAUACAAUAAUAAAAUUGACAACCAAGACCAAAAAAGAUCUGAAUAUUACAUUGAAGAUCAUUCUAUACCAAGCAUAACAGUACAUGAUUAAAAUAAGUAAAUUCCAGUGGGAGCCAUUUCUGUGACUCAUGAUUAGGAAAUCAUUUGUAAUAAAGACAAAUAAUUCAUUAGGAUUUGGGUAAUGGGAAGCUGGCAGAGUAUUUCCGAUUGGUUUAGUUUAGUGAGCACUUAGGGAUCACCAGUAUUCCCCAGCACUUUGUACUCUUAGGAGAUAUUAGGGCUGAAGGGUGCCUCAAACUUAUUUUCUGCCCUUAUUUUGUCAAAAAUGCAACCAGAGAUACUCCUGGAAAAUCCAUACAGUAACUCAUAGACUUCUUGAUAUCCAAACAGUGGUAGAAAAGACCAGAAAUUGUAAAGCACCCUGGGUUGGGAAUCAGAGCCUUGCAUUUUAGCCAUGUUUACAUCACUAAAUUUAUACAGGGACUUCAAAAACAUCACUUGGAUGGUUCUCACAUUGUCCCCAACUUCUAUAAUUU